RNAcentral lists this ribosomal RNA (422 nucleotides) under uncultured bacterium. RNAcentral describes it as "bacterial SSU rRNA". It matches the Rfam family "Bacterial small subunit ribosomal RNA", at positions 358 to 773 of the family's 1533-position model. The record is from RNAcentral.
GGAAUUGUUCGCAACGGGCGCAAGCCUGACGACGCAACGCCGCGUGGAGGAUGAAGAUCUUCGGGUUGUAAACUCCUGUUGCCCGGGACGAACGGCCCUGACCCAAUACGUCAGGGUGUGACGGUACCGGGGGAGGAAGCCCCGGCUAACUCCGUGCCAGCAGCCGCGGUAAUACGGGGGGGGCGAGCGUUGUUCGGAAUUACUGGGCGUAAAGGGCUCGUAGGUGGCCAACUAAGUCAGCUGUGAAAUCCCUCGGCUCAACCGAGGAAUGGCGGCUGAUACUGGAUGGCUUGAAUCCGGGAGAGGGAUGUGGAAUUCCAGGUGUAGCGGUGAAAUGCGUAGAUAUCUGGAGGAACACCGGUGGCGAAGGCGGCAUCCUGGACCGGUAUUGACACUGAGGAGCGAAAGCCAGGGGAGCAAAC